Long non-coding RNA from Thunnus maccoyii (southern bluefin tuna), 1420 nucleotides. RefSeq lists it as uncharacterized. NCBI's taxonomy places the organism in Eukaryota, Metazoa, Chordata, Actinopteri, Scombriformes, Scombridae. The record is from RefSeq and is a predicted model, not a curated record. The transcript is spliced from 3 exons.
GCAGUAACAGUAGUAGACACUCAGGCAGGAUGUGAGCUACGGAAGCCUGCAGGAAUCAGUGUGAGGCUUCAGCGUGAGCUGGAAGAAGUUCCUGAAUAUGAAAACACAAAUGAUGCUUUUUGCACCAAAAUGUUCUAUUUUUUUGUUCAGUAUUUGCAGAUUGUUGACGGUGUUUUGUUGCUUGUUUUCAGACAUGUUUGAAGGAAAGUUCUACGGAGUCCAGGAGUGACCACAGGAAACAAACUAAUUAAUUCUCGGGAUUUCAGUGUUUUGACACCAAACGUUCAGUCGGUCAGAAAUUUGAAGAAAGCGACUAUAGCGUCAGUGACUGAUCCAAGCUGGAUCCAAGGCAUCAGGAAGUGCUCCACAACCAUGGAUGAGUUUUUAUGAACUGGUGAAAAAGGCUGUUAUCCUGUAGAACAUAUUUAAGGGAUGAACACAGAACUCAGUGUACUUCCACAUAUCUGAGUCCAAGAUCAAAAUGAAACCUUGUGGAUCCACAGUGAGGGUGCAGGCAGGAUGAGAGGACGGCAUGCGGGAAUCCUGAGAACAAGUUCUUUAUUUUUUUCUCUGCGGACCCUCCUGGCCUCCAUAAAGUUCACAUCAGGUCUCAUGCAAGAACAUUUCCUUCUCCUAAACAUCUCUGAUGUUUCUCCCAGAAAUGUGUUCGUACAAGUGAUCCAACAAACUCUCAACGUGACAAACUUGUUUUUAAAUCUCUGGUUUCAGCCUGAUGAACGUCACCUGAAACCAGCAGACACAUUGAUCAGUGAUCAAUUGCUCCGUUACUGAUAUGAGAGGAGGUCAUGUGACAGUCAGAGAUAUUAGAGGAGAGAAUAUCACAGCAGCUGAUGUUACACUGUCAACACAACAUGAUGCUGCAGCUGUUUACUGCUGACACAAACAUCUGCACAUCAGGAAACUGGCAGCGUGAUGAUGAUGAUGAUGAUGAUGAACAGGGACGUCGGACUGGAUGGGGAACGUAGAAGAUGAAGGACUCUGACAUCAGCAGCGUCUGUUUCCCAGGCUCCCUCAGCACGCCGCACACACUGCAUCAUGGGAACAGAGAGAGGGAGAGCUGCUGCUGCUGGGAGUCAGGCUGUGGUCAACUGGGCUGAUGGUUAAACUGGUUUCCCGUGGAAAACCUCCUCCUCCUCCUCCGUCAGCGUGAGUUCAUGUGCGCUGAGUUAAAGAGUUAAACUGGAGGUUUUUGUCCACUAAUUAAAUCUUUUUACUUCACAUUCCUGCUGCAUCGUUUCCAAAGUCCCUCCCUCAGCUUUUACAGUAAUGUCCUUCCUUCCAGGCAGCCGUUAGUUUCACUUUAUUCACACAGAAAUCAGCCUGCAGAGAGAAAAUCCUUCACAGUCCAUGUUUAGUCUUUAUCACUUCAUAUACAUCUCUCUCCCCGUGUUUCCUGUGA